AUGCAUCCCGACGCCACCUCCCCCUCGCACCGCAUCGCCCGCGUCGCCGCGCACCUCAACCCCACUCGCCCGCAGAUGGAGGAGGGCGCGGCGCUGAGGCCCGCGGCGUGCCGCGCCAAGGGCGGCGCGCCGGGGUUCAAGGUGGCGGUGGUGGGCGCGGCCGGGGGGAUCGGCCAGUCGCUGUCGCUGCUCAUGAAGAUGAACCCGCUCGUCUCCGUGCUCCACCUCUACGACGUCGUCAACACGCCCGGGGUCACCGCCGACGUCAGCCACAUGGACACCAGCGCCGUGGUGCGUGGCUUCAUUGGCCAACAACAGCUUGAGGCAGCACUUACAGGAAUGGAUCUUGUCAUCAUCCCUGCCGGCCUCCCAAGAAAACCAGGAAUGACAAGGGAUGAUCUGUUCAACAAAAAUGCUGGGAUCGUUCGCUCGAUCUGUGAAGGCGUUGCCAAGAGCUGUCCUAAUGCUAUUGUGAAUUUGAUCAGCAACCCUGUGAACUCAACCGUCCCCAUUGCUGCGGAGGUUUUCAAGAGAGCUGGAACUUACUGUCCCAAGCGUCUCCUUGGAGUGACAACACUUGAUGUAGCGAGGGCUAACACCUUUGUGGCGGAAGUCCUUGGAGUUGAUCCGAGAGAAGUCAAUGUUCCAGUUGUUGGCGGGCAUGCAGGGGUCACUAUAUUACCCCUCCUGUCACAGGUCAGCCCCCCAUGCUCAUUCACUCCAGAUGAAAUCAGCUAUUUGACUAACCGCAUACAGAACGGUGGUACAGAAGUUGUGGAGGCAAAGGCUGGAGCAGGCUCUGCAACUUUGUCAAUGGCUUUUGCUGCUGCAAAAUUCGCCGACGCGUGCCUGCGAGGAAUGCGCGGAGAUGCUGGCAUCGUGGAGUGUUCAUACGUCGCAUCUGAGGUGACAGAGCUGCCGUUCUUCGCAUCGAAGGUGAGGUUAGGUCGCGGUGGAGCCGAGGAGAUUCUCCCUCUUGGGCCACUGAAUGACUUUGAGAGCCGGCCUGGAGAAGGCGAAGAAGGAGCUGAGCGAGAGCAUUCAGAAGGGCGUGUCCUUCAUGAACAAGUGAGAUCGUACGAAUGGAUCGCCCCCGACCUAUACAGAUAUGCAAAGACUAAAGAAAGAGUGUGA
RNAcentral lists this ribosomal RNA (1134 nucleotides) under Triticum aestivum (bread wheat). RNAcentral describes it as "partial small subunit ribosomal RNA". The record is from RNAcentral. Lineage: Eukaryota; Viridiplantae; Streptophyta; Magnoliopsida; Poales; Poaceae.